GGGUACCUAGGGUUUCUGAUGGGAGGCUUGUAACUCUUGGUCACCUGGUACUCAGGACCAAGGUAGAAGUCUCCACUCUGUCCCAGGGCAUGUCAGCCUUGGCAGGGUGAUGUCCAGCUGGAUAAUCUCCUCUGGGGGCCGCCCCGGGCACAGUGUGUGAGCAGCACCCCCGGCCUCCACCCACUAGCUGCCUGUAACACCCCUCCCUGGCUGUCACCAGGUGUUACCAGAUGUCCGCUGGGGACAAAACUGACCCUGAUUGAGAACCACUGCUCUAUAGCAACAAUUUUCCCAAAUUGUUAUUUACAGAAAUACACUUGCUAAAAGGUGCGCGGUUUGAACCUUUUAGUAGAAUAUAGGGAAAGGUCUUUGUCUCGUCUUUGUCCUCCAGCUCUCUUCCAAAAGGCUCCUGUUGCUACUAGUUUCUUGUUUAUAACUGGAGAAGCACUUUGUACACACACACACACACACACACACACACACACACACACACGUCACUUUAUUUCUCUCUGUGUCUUGGGAAACGUAAGUUUUCUGUAUCAUUUUUAUGUAAUGAUUUGUUUUAGAGAUUUGUUCAUAUCAGUACAUGUGUCGAGGGAAAAAAAUUGUGGCAAAGAAGCAUUCAUUAGCCACUGCGGGAAUAAGUGGAACCUACCACAACUGAAAUUAAAUAUACUUUUCAGUAUCUUGGCAGUUAGUCGCAUGUUUUUUUCUUUUGAUCGUGUACUAUGAAGAGUUGUGAUAGUUGACGCUCUGCAUUUCGAGUCCUCACUGCAUUCCUGGGAUGAAUUCUACCAGGUCUUGCCGUGAGGUGUUUUCUUUGUCGUCGGCGUCGGCAUCCUGACUCUGCCAACAGUUUUCCAACACAUUUUCCAUGAUGUUACAUGCAGAAGGGACAUCAGUAUCUUCUUUCUUGGGUUGGAAAUUCUGUUUCACUAGCAUUUCAUCUUCAUGAAGGUAAUCUGGAAGCUUGCUCCCUUUCUGCAUCCCCUGUUUCAGAUUAAAGAGUGGGUAGGAUUCAUUCUUGCAACUGUCUGGACCUGGUGCUUUGGGGGUGGGUUGUUCUUUUACUUUAUGUCUUUUUUUUUUUUUGCCGUUUCUAGGGCCCCUCCCCUUGCAAAUGGAGGUUCCCAGGCCAGGGGUCUAAUCGGAGCUGUAGCUGGCAGGCUACGCCACAGCCACAGCAACGAGGGAUCCAAAUAGCAUCUGUGACCUACACCACAGCUCACGGCAACGCUGGAUCCUCAACCCACUGAACAAGGCCAGGGAUCGAACCCCGCAACCUCAUGGUUCCUAGUCGGAUUUGUUGACCACUAUGCCAUGAUAGGAACUCCAACUUUAUGUCAUUAACGAUACAUUUUUACUUAUAUUAUCAGUUUUAAAUAUUACCUUUGGCUUCCAACAAUACAGAAUAGAAACCCUGGAAUUCUCUUCUUCUGCUUCCUUUCUUCUCUUUUUUUUCCUCCUCACCAAUUUUCUCUCUAGAUGGUCACGAUUGAUAAUAUUUGCCUUCUAUUGUAGGACCCUAAUUCCUGCACUUAUCUUGGUCUUAAAACUGAGAUGAAUCAGUUCUCACAUCAACCCUUCUGCUGUGGUUCCCUCCUUCUCAUCAGAAUUGUGUUCCUUGCAUCUUUGAAUACUCAAAAAUAUUUGUCCCUUGCUCAGAUGUUUGAAUGAAGGUCUAGCUGAGGAAACGAAAAAGUCUUGGAAGAUUUGUCGGCCUGGUUUCUUUUUCUCCUACAGUGGAGUCAGGUUUUGGAGAAGGGGGAGGCUGGUUAGAACUGUUUUCCUUUGCAAGCAUCUCGAUGUGUUUUCCUGUGUGUUCAAAGCCCUUUUGUGUGAUGAUUAAACUCCAGCAAUGUCGUGAGACUAUAUCGGGGUGUUAAUUGUCCUGUCUUCCUUUCCUCUUGAGCUUUGAUGAGGCUUCGCUCUUCAGAAACACCUUUUCUUUUAUCUUGUAAAAAUUUUCUUGAAGUACGUCUCUCUCGCUCUCUUCGUUUGGUUCUGUUGACUGGGGACACUGACUAUGCUCCUGUCGGAUCUUUAAAACUGUUUCGUAUCUAUGACGUCCUCUUUAACCGUCUUAGAUUCUUUCUCAGUUUGGUUUUAUUUCAUUUUGUUUUCUCGGUCAUGUUCUACGUGUGUCUUUUUCUCGGGGUGUUUUGCUUCCGUGGGGGCGUUCGUUGGAUGAGGGAUGUGAUUUUUCUUUUCAACUCCUUCUCUGGGCUCCGCCAGCCAUGCCUCAUUCACCUCCUCAUGCUUCUCUUCCACUUCCUUCCAGACCCUCGUGGCCCAGGUCCAGUUCUCUGCUGGUUCCUCAAGAGGGAUCUCUGGACUCGGAUGCUGGUCUGGUGGGAGACGCACCUGCCUGACCUGCCUCCAUCUGUCCUUUGCUCUCCCUGCUCCCCCUUUCCUUCCCCCGAUCCUCUCUGGGUCUGUAUCCCGCUCGGUUCCCUCUGUGAUAACUGGCCACAUUUACACGAGGCGAGCACUAUUGUGAGUGAACCCAGCGUCGUGACUGGCCUAGAACUUUCCUGGUUUUGCACAGCCAACCCCACAUUCCAGGACAGCCUCCAUCCCAGGCAGUUGGGCAAGGUUGGUCAGCCUGGUGCUGAAGAAACUCUUCUUGGCAAGAGGUUGUGUGGGAGAGGUCGGCACUGCGUUCUGAGCCAUGGGCACCUCUCCUGGUUCGUAGGAAAGCACCUUCCACGGGGAGNAGCCUGCUUAGGUCUGUCUUAGGGAUUCACAGGUUUCUAAGCUCCAUUUCCUCCCUACGCAUUUCUCUCCUGCCUCCUCCUCAUACGUUGCUGAACUUUAUCUCUUUUUUGGGUAGGAAAAGUAGUUUUUAUAGCAUCAGUCUAGCCUUCCUUCCUAAAUUAACAGCAUCCAUAUGGUUUUUUUAUACUUAAAAUAUGCCAGCUCUUACAACCCCAAAAGACAUUUUUCUUAAAAUUUUGAUAUUUACUAUGGUUUAAAAAAUUUUUUUUGGAUGUAGCUAUAAAAAUCCCUCCUUCUCCCCAGUGAAUUGGCCGCCUCUGAUUGAACACAGGGAAAGACCAGCCAAAGGAGUGCAGGCACAUUUGGAAAGCUUGGCUUUCGGUCUCUACAUUUCCCUCUUCUUCCAGCGUUUUAAAGCCAAACUGGGGAGGACUUUAUGCUUCUGCUUUUCAUAUGCAGGGACGGGUCUAGGGAAGCAAAAGAUGGCCCAGAUACAGGGGCGAGGUGCUGGGCGGGAUGGUUCCGGGGCCUGCAACAGGGGGACAAAGCUGGCAUUGAGGCUCUCAAAGGCAACAGGGGUCCUAAAUCCUAAAUCCCCCCUGUACCCCUGAGGUGUACUUCUUCCUUGGUGGGAACCCUCAAAAUGUGCAAAGGGUUUCUGAGAUGCCCACAGCUGUGUGAUGAGCGUCUUCGUGGGCAGCUGGGCAAAGGGAAAGGACUCAAGAAAAGCCACCUCCAGGGGAAGGGCAACGCCUGCCCAGGAAGAGCAGCCCCUGAAAAGGCCACACAGGGCUGUAAGCAGCCCUCCGGUUGGUCACGGGACAUGGAGGGCUUGGUGUCAUCCUCAGAUGCCCUAAUGUGGCUUAAUUACCAGGACGGAGGCCUGUCUCGUGCUGCUAAUGGGCCCGCAGCCAGGAGCCAUCCUUGAUAAAUCAAUAUGCAAGGAAUUCAAUGAGAUUGCCUGGCUGAGUUUGGCCCCGUGGCUGAGGAAACCAUACAACACGUGGUCGAUUUUGGAGGAAUGUUUCCAACCGCUUGAUGUGUUUGUUUCCUUCCGUAGGCUCCCGGGGAGAGGAGGGGUGACGAAACGCCAGGUAUCUGCAGUGUGGCUCCCAUCCCGGAUCAGCUGGGCCCCUAAGGUUUGUGCCUCCUAGAACACUCGCGGUUCUGGAAGGAAUGAUGAUGGGGCCGUGUGCCGGGGAGCAUCGCUCUCAGGAAUGCUGCAGAAUGUUUAGGGUGAACAGUGCAACUCUGUGGAAAAAGGGGCAAUGCCUGCUUUAGGUGACGCGGAGAAAGCUGAGAAUGAUUCAGCCUGUGCUGGCCCGGGAAUUCAUGGGCCGCAAAUCCCAGGCUGCAUUCCAGUUCAUGGAAGGUUCCUUUUGGACCCGAGAUGAUGCCAUAAGAGAUUCCUUCUUGACAGCAUCCCUCCGACGUCUGUGGCUCCACUUUUAGUUCCAGCAUGAGUCCCGUUGUCCAGAUGAGGAAACCAGAGCUUAGAAAGGUGCGUACUUGCGCUUGAGUCACUCUGUCCUUUAGUGGUGACGCUGCGAGCGGACGCUUGUGCCCACACAGGGAUGUGUGUUGUUCCAAGCUGUGCUUGAAGAACGGACUCUGAAUGAGCCGCGUCUGCCGAGGGCUGGCUGGAGGCAGACAGACGCUGGUCUGAGGACGCUCAGGGCAACUGACCCAUCCCGACCUUCACAGCCCUGCCUGUAGAGGGUCCUCAUGACAGAUGGACAGGAGGGAGAAGCUGGAUGCAGCAUGGGAACACCAUGACGAAGAAGCCCAGAAUGUCAGCUGCUUCCACCCCCAGUCCCCGGAGACAGCGGGAGCCACUGCGGUUCUGAUCUUGGCUUUCUUGCAGCCAAGCCAAGGAGGAGACGAUACUGGAUGAUCAAGACAGUGGCAGUGGGAGUUCCCAUCGUGGUUCCGCCAGUUAAGGACCCCACGUCGUUUCUGUGAGGAUGCAGGUUCCAUCCUUGGCCUCACUCAGUGGGUUAAGGAUCUGGUGUUGCUGAGAGCUGUGGUGUAGGUCGAAGAUGCAGCUC
Molecule: long non-coding RNA, 4766 nt
Filed under: Sus scrofa (pig)
Lineage: Eukaryota; Metazoa; Chordata; Mammalia; Artiodactyla; Suidae
Description: lncRNA (ENSSSCG00015031429.1)
Source: RNAcentral